GGGGUCUACGAAUCAAAACAAACACACUGUGUUGGAAGACGAUUACAAGAUGCUUAAAAGCAGCUCAAAAGAGAAUGGACUGUAUAGAGACCGAUUUCGUUCAGAGGGGAAGCAGCGGUACUUGCAGAAAAUAGCGUGCAUUGGAAAUGUGGAGCCGUAUGAAAUACGGCCGUGGAGUAGAAACCCUGAAGACCAACUGCUAUUGACGUAGCCUGACAUAUUUUCGUACCUUAUCUGUGGAAUCAGCGCGUACAAGUCGUCAUUCAAACAAAGGUCCUGCACUCAAAGACUGAAUGAACCAGCAUUGCAGCCACGGGUCACUGUGAGCAUCACAGGGAAGGUUGAAGCCGCCCACUGCACCUGUAAGGACUGUUACAGAUGAACCUGCAUACUGGGUUUUGCUGGGUAAUGUGACCAAGAUACAGUCAGUGGUUGGCCAUAACAUAGACUUCUCCUCUUCAGCUGCCCAAAAAAGGCUCUUGAUCAAAACAUAAACAGACCAUCCGUAUUGAAAGGUAAAAGGAGCCGUGCUCCAAAAAGAAAAAUCCCAGCUGCUUUUAUAGUUUACAAAUGACAAAAUGUUUCCAUAAAAUCAUG
Molecule: long non-coding RNA, 597 nt
Organism: Astatotilapia calliptera (eastern happy)
Lineage: Eukaryota; Metazoa; Chordata; Actinopteri; Cichliformes; Cichlidae
Source: Ensembl